Molecule: ribosomal RNA, 492 nt
Filed under: uncultured bacterium
Lineage: Bacteria
Description: partial 16S ribosomal RNA
Rfam family: Bacterial small subunit ribosomal RNA
Source: RNAcentral
AGUGAACGCUGGCGGUAGGCCUAACACAUGCAAGUCGAACGGCAGCACAGUAAGAGCUUGCUCUUACGGGUGGCGAGUGGCGGACGGGUGAGGAAUACAUCGGAAUCUACUUUUUCGUGGGGGAUAACGUAGGGAAACUUACGCUAAUACCGCAUACGACCUACGGGUGAAAGCAGGGGAUCUUCGGACCUUGCGCGAUUGAAUGAGCCGAUGUCGGAUUAGCUAGUUGGCGGGGUAAAGGCCCACCAAGGCGACGAUCCGUAGCUGGUCUGAGAGGAUGAUCAGCCACACUGGAAAGGAGACACGGUCCAGACUCAUACGGGAGGCAGCAGUGGGGAAUAUUGGACAAUGGGCGCAAGCCUGAUCCAGCCAUACCGCGUGGGUGAAGAAGGCCUUCGGGUUGUAAAGCCCUUUUGUUGGGAAAGAAAAGCAGCAGGUUAAUACCCCGCUGUUCUGACGGUACCCAAAGAAUAAGCACCGGCUAACUUCGUG